AUUGAACGCUGGCGGCAGGCCUAACACAUGCAAGUCGAGCGGAUGAGAGGAGCUUGCUCCUGGAUUCAGCGGCGGACGGGUGAGUAAUGCCUAGGAAUCUGCCUGGUAGUGGGGGACAACGUUUCGAAAGGAACGCUAAUACCGCAUACGUCCUACGGGAGAAAGCAGGGGACCUUCGGGCCUUGCGCUAUCAGAUGAGCCUAGGUCGGAUUAGCUAGUUGGUGAGGUAAUGGCUCACCAAGGCGACGAUCCGUAACUGGUCUGAGAGGAUGAUCAGUCACACUGGAACUGAGACACGGUCCAGACUCCUACGGGAGGCAGCAGUGGGGAAUAUUGGACAAUGGGCGAAAGCCUGAUCCAGCCAUGCCGCGUGUGUGAAGAAGGUCUUCGGAUUGUAAAGCACUUUAAGUUGGGAGGAAGGGCAGUAACUUAAUACGUUGCUGUUUGACGUACCGACA
RNAcentral lists this ribosomal RNA (458 nucleotides) under Pseudomonas sp. R-41731. Its description in RNAcentral is "bacterial SSU rRNA". It matches the Rfam family "Bacterial small subunit ribosomal RNA", at positions 30 to 483 of the family's 1533-position model. Lineage: Bacteria; Pseudomonadati; Pseudomonadota; Gammaproteobacteria; Pseudomonadales; Pseudomonadaceae. The record is from RNAcentral.